This 1372-nucleotide ribosomal RNA is filed under the name uncultured bacterium. Its description in RNAcentral is "bacterial SSU rRNA". It matches the Rfam family "Bacterial small subunit ribosomal RNA", at positions 28 to 1381 of the family's 1533-position model. The record is from RNAcentral.
GAUGAACGCUGGCGGCGUGCCUAAUACAUGCAAGUCGAGCGAACGGACGAGAAGCUUGCUUCUCUGAUGUUAGCGGCGGACGGGUGAGUAACACGUGGAUAACCUACCUAUAAGGCUGGGAUAACUUCGGGAAACCGGAGCUAAUACCGGAUAAUAUUUUGAACCGCAUGGUUCAAAAGUGAAAGACGGUCUUGCUGUCACUUAUAGAUGGAUCCGCGCUGCAUUAGCUAGUUGGUAAGGUAACGGCUUACCAAGGCAACGAUGCAUAGCCGACCUGAGAGGGUGAUCGGCCACACUGGAACUGAGACACGGUCCAGACUCCUACGGGAGGCAGCAGUAGGGAAUCUUCCGCAAUGGGCGAAAGCCUGACGGAGCAACGCCGCGUGAGUGAUGAAGGUCUUCGGAUCGUAAAACUCUGUUAUUAGGGAAGAACAUAUGUGUAAGUAACUGUGCACAUCUUGACGGUACCUAAUCAGAAAGCCACGGCUAACUACGUGCCAGCAGCCGCGGUAAUACGUAGGUGGCAAGCGUUAUCCGGAAUUAUUGGGCGUAAAGCGCGCGUAGGCGGUUUUUUAAGUCUGAUGUGAAAGCCCACGGCUCAACCGUGGAGGGUCAUUGGAAACUGGAAAACUUGAGUGCAGAAGAGAAAAGUGGAAUUCCAUGUGUAGCGGUGAAAUGCGCAGAGAUAUGGAGGAACACCAGUGGCGAAGGCGACUUUCUGGUCUGUAACUGACGCUGAUGUGCGAAAGCGUGGGGAUCAAACAGGAUUAGAUACCCUGGUAGUCCACGCCGUAAACGAUGAGUGCUAAGUGUUAGGGGGUUUCCGCCCCUUAGUGCUGCAGCUAACGCAUUAAGCACUCCGCCUGGGGAGUACGACCGCAAGGUUGAAACUCAAAGGAAUUGACGGGGACCCGCACAAGCGGUGGAGCAUGUGGUUUAAUUCGAAGCAACGCGAAGAACCUUACCAAAUCUUGACAUCCUUUGACAACUCUAGAGAUAGAGCCUUCCCCUUCGGGGGACAAAGUGACAGGUGGUGCAUGGUUGUCGUCAGCUCGUGUCGUGAGAUGUUGGGUUAAGUCCCGCAACGAGCGCAACCCUUAAGCUUAGUUGCCAUCAUUAAGUUGGGCACUCUAAGUUGACUGCCGGUGACAAACCGGAGGAAGGUGGGGAUGACGUCAAAUCAUCAUGCCCCUUAUGAUUUGGGCUACACACGUGCUACAAUGGACAAUACAAAGGGCAGCGAAACCGCGAGGUCAAGCAAAUCCCAUAAAGUUGUUCUCAGUUCGGAUUGUAGUCUGCAACUCGACUACAUGAAGCUGGAAUCGCUAGUAAUCGUAGAUCAGCAUGCUACGGUGAAUACGUUCCCGGGUCU